GAUGAACGCUAGCUACAGGCUUAACACAUGCAAGUCGAGGGGCAUCGGGAAGAAAGCUUGCUUUCUUUGCCGGCGACCGGCGCACGGGUGAGUAACACGUAUCCAACCUGCCCUUUACUCGGGGAUAGCCUUUCGAAAGAAAGAUUAAUACCCGAUGGCAUAAUGAUUCCGCAUGGUUUCAUUAUUAAAGGAUUCCGGUAAAGGAUGGGGAUGCGUUCCAUUAGGUUGUUGGUGGGGUAACGGCCCACCAAGCCUUCGAUGGAUAGGGGGUUCU
Molecule: ribosomal RNA, 274 nt
Filed under: uncultured bacterium
Lineage: Bacteria
Description: partial 16S ribosomal RNA
Rfam family: Bacterial small subunit ribosomal RNA
Source: RNAcentral